Molecule: non-coding RNA, 779 nt
Organism: Gasterosteus aculeatus aculeatus (three-spined stickleback)
Lineage: Eukaryota; Metazoa; Chordata; Actinopteri; Perciformes; Gasterosteidae
Source: RefSeq, a predicted model, not a curated record
CGGGUGUCUCUCAGAGGGGCGGGAUUAGUCAGCUUCUCGAUAACUUCCCCUGCAGCCGAGCCGGUUGUGUUGAUACAGUACACUAAAUCCAACAACGCAACGCUUCAAUAUGCAGCUCGAAGCCCAAACAAUUACUCUCCUCCUCCUCUUCCUCGUUUAAUUGGACGUCUCCUGAUGUCGUGCUCUCCAUAGUGAAAUGUGAGUACGUCUCGCUGCCGUCGGUCAACAACAUUUAUCAGGUUAUAUCUACACUUAAACACCUCAUUUCUUCAUCUCCAAAACCCCAAAAGGUUUCCACAAACACGACUCUCAAAUUAAACAAUUCAAGUUAAAUACAUGAAAAAAAAAAGAGUUCUGACAAUUGUCUUUGCUUCAUUUCUUUUUGGAUCGUCCCAUAGAGCCAUACGGAGGGACUUUGAAUGGAUGUCCUGGAAACCGUCACAAGAUUGCUUUGUAUUGAAGGUACAAGUGCCAAGUGGAUUCCUUCUGAAUGGUGGGAAAGCAUAAAUACUCAAGUAGUGUACUCAAGGAAUAUCUGUAAUUAAACUUCUGCUCCACCACGUAGAGGUACAUGUAGUACUUUUUACUUCAAUGCAUCUUAGAGGUACAUGUACUUUUAAACUCACUACAUCAAUACUGUAAUUAUCUUGUAUUGUUGUAUUUUAACAAAGUUACUGUUCCAAAACUAGCCGGUAGAAUAUGAAGCUGCAACAUGAAAAACACGAACCAAUCAAUAAUUACUGUACAAUAAUAUAAUAAAUGUUACUCUGCACAAAGAC